AUUGAACGCUGGCGGCAUGCUUUACACAUGCAAGUCGGACGGCAGCGGGGUAGUGCUUGCACUACUGCCGGCGAGUGGCGAACGGGUGAGUAAUAUAUUGGAACGUACCGAGUAAUGGGGGAUAACCAAUCGAAAGAUUGGCUAAUACCGCAUACGCUCUGAGGAGGAAAGCAGGGGACCUUCGGGCCUUGCGUUAUUCGAGCGGCCAAUAUGUGAUUAGCUAGUUGGUGGGGUAAGGGCCUACCAAGGCGACGAUCAGUAGCGGGUCUGAGAGGAUGAUCAGCCACACUGGGACUGAGACACGGCCCAGACUCCUACGGGAGGCAGCAGUGGGGAAUUUUGGACAAUGGGCGCAAGCCUGAUCCAGCCAUGCCGCGUGUCUGAAGAAGGCCUUCGGGUUGUAAAGGACUUUUGUUAGGGAAGAAAAAGGAGCGGUUAAUACCCGUGUCUGCUGACGGUACCUAAAGAAUAAGCACCGGCUAACUACGUG
This 490-nucleotide ribosomal RNA is filed under the name uncultured bacterium. RNAcentral's name for it is "partial 16S ribosomal RNA". It matches the Rfam family "Bacterial small subunit ribosomal RNA", at positions 30 to 507 of the family's 1533-position model. The record is from RNAcentral.